This 455-nucleotide ribosomal RNA is filed under the name uncultured bacterium. RNAcentral's name for it is "bacterial SSU rRNA". It matches the Rfam family "Bacterial small subunit ribosomal RNA", at positions 340 to 786 of the family's 1533-position model. The record is from RNAcentral.
UACGGAAGGCAGCAGUGGGGAAUAUUGCACAAUGGGCGCAAGCCUGAUGCAGCCAUGCCGCGUGUAUGAAGAAGGGCCUUCGGGUUGUAAAGUACUUUCAGCGGGGAGGAAGGCGAUGUGGUUAAUAACCGCGUCGAUUGACGUUACCCGCAGAAGAAGCACCGGCUAACUCCGUGCCAGCAGCCGCGGUAAUACGGAGGGUGCAAGCGUUAAUCGGAAUUACUGGGCGUAAAGCGCACGCAGGCGGUCUGUUAAGUCAGAUGUGAAAUCCCCGGGCUUAACCUGGGAACUGCAUUUUGAAACUGGCAGGCUUGAGUCUCGUAGAGGGGGUAGAAUUCCAGGUGUAGCGGUGAAAUGCGUAGAGAUCUGGAGGAAUACCGGUGGCGAAGGCGGCCCCUGGACGAGACUGACGCUCAGGUGCGAAAGCGUGGGGAGCAAACAGGGAUUAGGAUACC